GGACUCGCAAUGCGAGUGGUAGAGGAGCAUUCUUAAAACCGACGAAGCUGUACCGGAAGGAGCAGUGGAGGGAUAAGAAGAGAGAAUGCCGGAAUGAGUAGCGAGAGAAAGGUGGGAAUCCUUUCGGCCGAAUAUCUAAGGUUUCCAGAGUAAAGCUGAUCUGCUCUGGGUAAGUCGGGGCCUAAGCACAGGUCGCAAGACGUAAGCGAUGGAUAACAGGUUUAGAUUCCUGUACCACGCAUUAUCAGAACUGUAGGGACGCAUGUGGAAAGCACGGGCCGGGAAUGGAAAGACCGGUACAAGCGGGGUAGGUGUACAAUAGGCAAAUCCGUUGUAUAAUCCGAAGACGUGAUGUGGAGCGAAAUAAAGUAGUGAAGCGUGUGAGCCAUGUGCCGAGAAAAGCUGCUAUUGUGUAAUGCGUGCCCGUACCGUAAACCGACACAGGUGGAUGAGGAGAGAAUCCUAAGGCCGGCGGAAGAAGCAUUGUUAAGGAAUUCGGCAAAAUGACCCCGUAACUUCGGGAGAAGGGGUGCCUGCGAGAGCAGGCCGCAGAGAAUAGGCUCAAGCAACUGUUUAGCAAAAACACAGGUCUAUGCGAAACCGAAAGGUGAAGUAUAUGGGCUGACGCCUGCCCGGUGCUGGAAGGUUAAGAGGAGAGGUUAGCUUCGGCGAAGCUUUGAAUUUAAGCCCCAGUAAACGGCGGCCGUAACUAUAACGGUCCUAAGGUAGCGAAAUUCCUUGUCGGGUAAGUUCCGACCCGCACGAAAGGCGUAAUGAUUUGAGCACUGUCUCGACAAUGCAUCCGGUGAAAUUGAAGUACCAGUGAAGAUGCUGGUUACCCGCGCCAGGACGGAAAGACCCCAUGGAGCUUUACUCCAGUUUGAUACUGGGAUUCGGUACUGCAUGUACAGGAUAGGUGGGAGACGAAGAAGGAUGGACGCCAGUCUGUCCGGAGUCGCUGUUGGGAUACCACCCCUGUAGUACUGGGUUUCUGACCAGUUGCCAUGAACUGGCAAUGGGACAAUGUCAGGCGGGGAGUUUGACUGGGGCGGUCGCCUCCGAAAGGGUAUCAGAGGCGCUCAAAGGUUCCCUCAGAAUGGUUGGAAACCAUUUGAAGAGUGCAAAGGCAGAAGGGAGCUUGACUGCGACACCGACGGGUGGAGCAGGUACGAAAGUAGGACUUAGUGAUCCGGUGGUAUAAAGUGGGAUUGCCAUCGCUCAACGGAUAAAAGCUACCCUGGGGAUAACAGGCUUAUCACUCCCAAGAGUUCACAUCGACGGAGUGGUUUGGCACCUCGAUGUCGGCUCAUCGCAUCCUGGGGCUGUAGCAGGUCCCAAGGGUUGGGCUGUUCGCCCAUUAAAGCGGUACGCGAGCUGGGUUCAGAACGUCGUGAGACAGUUCGGUCCCUAUCCGGCGCGGGCGGAGGAUAUUUGAGAGGAGCUGUCCUUAGUACGAGAAGACCGGGAUGGACGGACCACUGGUGUAUCUGUUGUCGACCAACGGCAUGGCAGAGUAGCCAAGUCUGGAAGGGAUAAACGCUGAAGGCAUCUAAGCGUGAAGCCCCCCUCAAGAUGAGAUAUCCCUCCUUCGGGAGUAAGACCCCUUGAAGACUACAAGGUAGAUAGGGCAGAGGUGGAAGCAUGGCAACAUGUGGAGCUGACUGUUACUAAUAGGUCGAGGGC
RNAcentral lists this ribosomal RNA (1683 nucleotides) under metagenome. RNAcentral's name for it is "bacterial LSU rRNA". It matches the Rfam family "Bacterial large subunit ribosomal RNA", at positions 1204 to 2912 of the family's 2925-position model. The record is from RNAcentral.